AGAACUUUUGUGAAAAAUAGUUUUCAAAGGAUUCCCAUCACUUUGUGUCUUCCAAAAAUCUUCCUGAUGUUUCUCGUGCAGGAUUUUUACUGCAGCCCUACACACUGGAGAAGGCCUACAGGAAGCCCUAACUGAACUGUGUAAAUAGGACAACCUAAGUAUCACAUACCCUGAAAAAUCACAAGGUAAUACAUAUUUUCAGAGUUUGAUAUUUUGUGUUCUUUAUG
This 227-nucleotide long non-coding RNA is filed under the name Parus major (Great Tit). Its description in RNAcentral is "lncRNA (ENSPMJG00000004264.1)". Lineage: Eukaryota; Metazoa; Chordata; Aves; Passeriformes; Paridae. The record is from RNAcentral.